UUAUAAUUUGGUAUCAUACAGGCAGAGGACGAGUUUGAGAAAAUAUACAUGAAAGGUCGAACAAUACCGGAAACAAACGACGAUGAGAGCUAUCUUUCUGCGUGUCACAAUGCGCCUAGUGAGUUUGACUGGAGAACGCAUGGAUACGUUUCUCCUGUUAAAAGUCAGGUAAAGUUAUUAUACUCUAAUAAUGUGUUGACAAAGCAAGAAAGUGGUGGCUGGUUCGUACGGUAUUCCGUUUAGACCUUCGAGAUUUUUAUUCCUGAGCCCCAUACCUCGAAAGUCGAAAUCACGAAACUACAAUUAUGAUGAAAGUCGAAUCCACGAUGUUUAGGUCGAAAAACACGAAGCUAUGAUGGGGAAAGUAGAAAUCACGAAUCCAAGAUAAUAAAAAGGCGAUAUCGUUUCGACUUUCAUUAUCAAACUUUCAACUUUUGAUUUCCAUCAUCGUAGUUUCGACUUUCACCAUCUUAGUGUCGACUUUCAUCAUCGUGUUUUCGAGUUUCCACUUUUAAAUUCGGUGAUGAAAGUCGAAAGCACGAAGGUAAAAGUCGACAACACGAUGAUGAAAGUUGAAACUACGAUGUUGGAAGUUGAAACUUUGAUUACGAAUGUCGAAAAUCGAAAGGACGAUUAUAAAAGCACGACACCACGAUGGAGAAAUCGCGAUAUGAUAUCGCGUUUUCAUUAUCGUGGUUUCGUGAUUUCGACUUUACCAUCGUAGUUUCGAGUUUUUAUCAUAGCGAUUUCGACUUUCAUCAUCAUGUUUUCGACCUUCCUCAUCGUAGUGUCGUGAUUUCGACUUUCGAGAUAUGGGGUUUAGAAAGUCCAAACGGAACACCACUGGUUCGACUGUAGUUGAAGACACCGAGUUGUGCUUUAGCCUAAUGUUUUUAUUAGGCAUCGCACCUUUGUUAAAUCACAUGGAUUUAGCCAUGAGAAAUGACGUUAUUUGUUACUGAACAAAACUUAAAUCAUUUUGUGAACUUUCAACUGAAAAUGUAAUAGAUUGCAUUCCAGACUGUAAGAAAUAUUUCGAUUGUAUAUUAGUUUUUUAACAUUCAUGACAGACGUUCCAUUUUAAAUAAAUUGCAUUGCUGUCUAUGUUGUAUGUCUUCCGACUCUUUAAGUAACUUAUAAUAUUGUUACCUGUAGUCUUGCUGCUUGCUAGAUAAUGUAUUAUAUGGCUUUCCUAUAUUCGAAGAAACUAUACUAAAUACAAACUCGAAAUUAUGUUAUUGUCCACAAUCUUCACUUUAAAGUCGUCAUGCCGAGGCGAUGUCUGAAUCAAAAUUUCUAUACAGCAGUUGCACAAUAUUCAGAAACUAUUUCCUGACAAACAGUUUGAUUUUAUAACUUCAUAUUUUAUGCAUUAAUAUCAUUUAUUAAAACACUGGAAGUUACGUGUCGAGGAGGGACCAAUGUUGUCGCUGUUUACAAAUACAUCCAAGAAAAUGGUGGCAUCGACAGUGCAGCUUGCUACCAUUCUAGUACAUCUAAGCAGAAGUGUCAUUACAAUAAAAGCUGUAAAGCUGCUAAGUGUAAUGGAUACAAAUGGGUGAAGAAAAAUGAAGACUCUCUGAAAUGUAGCUUGGUUUCUGUUGGACCAAUUGCUGUUAGCUUGGACGUCAAUCACCGCUCUUUCUGGUUAUAUAAAAAUGGUAUUUGGUACAACCCGAGAUGUUCCAAAGACAGACCAAACCAUGUUAUGUUAGCGGUAGGUUACGGUACUGAAAGCAAAGGAAUGGAUUACUGGAUAAUCAAAAACAGUUGGGGCACCAGCUGGGGAAAGCAGGGUUACGUAUUUACAUCUCGAAACAGGAACAACAUGUGUGGUGUUGCCUCUAAUGCUACCUAUCCGGCAGUAUAAACGAACCAGUCUUCUCAAUGGAAGUUUAAUAUUAAUCCACAGCCUCAUCUUCUUUUUCUUGAUGUAUUUUAUUGUUUAAUUUGAGUGAAGUGUCUUCUACUCAGGUUUACAGUUCGAAAUGAGGAACAAUAUGUUUGAUUUUGCUACUGGCUUUACAGUGAGUUGAAGCAGUGAUAUGAACGAUAUGAAAGUCAUUAUUUUCUAUUUAAUGGUAUGACGUUCAUUUGUUUUCAUGUAACUAUUUUACGGUUGGAAUAAACUCCACUACUUCCUUAAUUUACAUAGGGUUUUGGUGAUUGAUACUUGCAUUUGUUGAGGUCGCUCAUGGUACGUUGCAAGAUUUUCUGCAUGAUAUACAUUUCAUUACCUCUGGUGAAGAGACUUAAAAAAUGAGUCGGUUAUCAUUUUGUUGGGUUGCGCCUACGCUGGAUUUUCCUGUAUAUUAUAUUGAAAAUAAAAUCUGUAAAAAAGA
Molecule: RNA transcript, 2342 nt
Organism: Mercenaria mercenaria
Lineage: Eukaryota; Metazoa; Mollusca; Bivalvia; Venerida; Veneridae
Gene name: cathepsin K-like
Exons: 5
Source: RefSeq, a predicted model, not a curated record